RNAcentral lists this ribosomal RNA (471 nucleotides) under uncultured bacterium. RNAcentral describes it as "partial 16S ribosomal RNA". It matches the Rfam family "Bacterial small subunit ribosomal RNA", at positions 28 to 506 of the family's 1533-position model. The record is from RNAcentral.
GACGAACGCUGGCGGCGUGCUUAACACAUGCAAGUCGAACGAUGAACCCGGAGCUUGCUCUGGGGGAUUAGUGGCGAACGGGUGAGUAACACGUGAGUAACCUGCCCUGGACUCUGGGAUAAGCGUUGGAAACGACGUCUAAUACCGGAUAGGACCUUGGAUCGCAUGAUCUGGGGUGGAAAGUUUUUUCGGUCUGGGAUGGACUCGCGGCCUAUCAGCUUGUUGGUGAGGUAAUGGCUCACCAAGGCGUCGACGGGUAGCCGGCCUGAGAGGGUGACCGGCCACACUGGGACUGAGACACGGCCCAGACUCCUACGGGAGGCAGCAGUGGGGAAUAUUGCACAAUGGGCGAAAGCCUGAUGCAGCAACGCCGCGUGCGGGAUGACGGCCUUCGGGCUGUAAACCGCUUUUAGUAGGGAAGAAGGGCUUCGGCUUGACGGUACCUGCAGAAAAAGGACCGGCUAACUACGU